This 148-nucleotide non-coding RNA is filed under the name Gorilla gorilla gorilla (western lowland gorilla). Lineage: Eukaryota; Metazoa; Chordata; Mammalia; Primates; Hominidae. The record is from Rfam by way of RNAcentral.
GCCAGGUGUGGUGAUGCACACCUGUAGUCCCAGCUACUCGGGAGGCUGAGGCAGAAGAAUUGCUUGAACCUGGGAGGUGGAAUUUGCAGUGAGCCGAGAUCGCCCCACUGCACUCCAUCCUGGGUGACAGAGCGAGACUCUGUCUCAA